Clupea harengus (Atlantic herring) is the source of this 5089-nucleotide long non-coding RNA. NCBI's taxonomy places the organism in Eukaryota, Metazoa, Chordata, Actinopteri, Clupeiformes, Clupeidae. The record is from Ensembl.
UACAAACCAAAGGCGUCACAUUUUGGCAAAAGUGGCUAGCCUAUUUCACUGGCUAGCUACGCUUGCUGGAUGUAACCAAUUGUACUGUCUUUUACAAUUGCCCCCAGCCGACCUCUCCUAAUAUUUGGUAAUUGGAUCAAAUUGGAAUAAAACAUAUGGUAUGCAGCUAAUAGUUAUACUAGCAUCUAGUUUGUAAUUCACUGAUCACAACCACCUGUUACUUGUGUUCCUGUCAACACGCACCAAUUCAUUGUGCAGUCAAAAUCUUGCGCAAAACUUGAAAGUUACACAUUUGCCAAAACGACUUUUGUCUAUAACUUUUGACAGAGACUGAGUCACAAGUUUAACAUUUUGAAAGCAGCUUCGGCCCACCACCUAACACAACGUCUGCAAGUUCCAUCGCAUUAAGUUGGACACGAUCUGAGAAAUUAAGCGUGUAACUGUCCCCGCGUUAUAAUUGUACCCCGUACACUAAAGGUUCAAACAUGAAUGCCAACCGAUAAGCAAAAUAUGACAGAGUAUGCUAUGCUAUAUGUUUCCUGUUUAAAUAUUCUGAAUUGAAUUCACACUUCGCUCAACACAAAACUCACAUUCCGGAUUUGACAGAAACUUUAGUUGUCCAUCUGUUGGCUUUAUAAGAGACACACUUGCAUCUGUGAUAUUGAACUGGGUUUAUUUUUCUUUCUACAUUUUGCCACAUUCGUGUAAACAUGUUGCACUCGAUAAUGCUCCACCUGUCUUGUUAGGCUGUAAGCUAUUCCACACUCGUGACCUAUCUGACAUCAUUCUGCUUCAUUUAGAUAGAAAAGCAACUCAGAUCAUAACUCAGUAUAAAUCAUCUUAUCCGAAGUAUAGAAAUAUUUUUUUUACUCAGCUAUUUUAGCCCAAAUAAGGCACAACCGAGCAACAGAGAAUUCAGUUAUUUAAGGCUUUUUUUCUGAGGUCCUACUUGGACUCUGCCUCCAGUGGCCACCAGGCGAAUUGCAGUCCUACUGCAAACCACUACUACAGACAUGGGUUUCAAUCAUACAUCAUUAACUCCACCAGCACACAGAUUCCUUCUUACAGUUUACCCUUCUGGAUUUUCUUUAUAAACUUGUACAAACACACCCUUUUUCUGAAGUGAUAUUUAAGCCACACCCAGCACCGCCCAUUUUCAAGGAAGGUUUACAGCCAGCACCAUCUUUGGUCAUCCGUACCAAUUCAAAUGAGCUGUAAAAGAAACAUUCAGGUGAUUGUAACUGCAGAUGAACAUGACUCCUGCACACAAGUCCCACUUUCACCUCUGCUUACAUGAAUCUGAUCCCAGUUCAGUCUCAGUCUACAGAUAGCUUUGUUCUGAGCGUUUGUGUGUGGCUGAGCCUGAAGGCAUCCUGGCUGUACAUUUCAGAGGCACCAUGAUGGGUCAGUGGUCAACUCUGACCUGAGAUAACAAACUCUAAAUGACUUGCUCAGAUCAUAAAAGCACCAUCAGUUCAUUCAGACAAGGUAUAGUUGUGUCACUUUAUAGGAAAAUACAAAUAUUUAUCCAUAAACUUUGACAAUGCAUCAUUUGCCUUUGCCUGCCUCACAUCUGUCUAAAUAGCCUUCAAGCAAAAAGAACAUUCAAUAAUAUUGCAGGAAAGCUUUAUUAAUAUUUACAUUCACAUAAUAUUCAUAAUAUCAUUACAUUAACUUAUACUAAAGUGUGAAUGUGUUGCAUUGUGUAAGAAGUUAACUGACAUGGCUUUUAGACAGUAAAGAUUUAAGAACAACACUGCCCUACAUGAUUGUGGUUACUGUUAGUCUUUAUGCUAAAUGCAAAGCUAGUCUUGUACAUAAGGUAAACCCAUGUUUGAGGAAGGAAUAAAAAAAAAAAGACAAAUUAUGAUAAAUAUGUGUAUCAUUCAUUUUGAUCUCUUUGCCAGUGAAUACUUUCAUAUUCUCAUUAAAUGGUUUUCCAUAAACUUGGUAGGUGAUCCUGCUGUGAAGUAUUGUGCUAUUUAUUUAUUGUUAGUCACGCUGCGCAUGUGAGUGAUUUUUAUUUUUUUAUCAACCGUGGUCAACAUAUUUGAGAUUGAAAAUAUCAGAUAAAUGUACACAGACAUAAAACUGAGACUAAUUCUUCCAUUGAAAACAUUCUCCACCUUUCUCUGUCCCAGCCCCUGAGUGUCCUCCAGAGUCAAAAACAAAAGACAUGAUUAGUGUAUUCACAUAAUGAACAGGCUGAUAACAUCUGUUAUGGUGGUAUGGCUCAUCUGUCUUCCUUAUUGUCAUUGAAAUUCUGCUCUCUCAUUAUCGAGGUCCAGGACUCCAGCACUUAAUCUAUUGCUUGGCGAAUGAAAACCGCCUGUGGACGACAUGUUGGCUGAGAGGAACAAUGAACAAUACGUGGAUAAUCAAAGCACCACUUUGAAGAACAUGAAUAUUUAGGAAGAUGCCUGUCAGAAUCAACAAAGAUCUUACCUUCCAGUGGAGGAGAUAGAUUCUUUUGCCCGUCUCAUUUUCAUUUCACGGUACCUCUUCUUCAAAUUACCUUUUUAUUGUUAUUCCGACGGAAGCGUUUUGAACUAUACCGCCGCCCUGCUGAAUUGUCAGCAAAUGCACAUUGUACUUUGUUAUGGGUAUCACAGAAUUCUCCUGUUGUGAAUCAACAACACAUAUACAUGAAAGACAAGAGCGCUAGCAAGUAGCAAAGUAGAAGUAGAAGGGAAAAAAAAUCAUUCAAUUUGAUGAUCUUCAUUUAUUGUUCUGCUUUAGAAGUGUAGAUGGUAGUGAAACCAUCUUAAGAUACACUUGUUCUUUUUUUUAGUCACGCUGCUCAUUGGCAGAGAAGAGCGCAGUAGUCAUUUGUGAUAUUGCUAUCUCACUCAAAUGGAUGUUGUCAGUCUCAUUCAUUUAAGUUACAAUUCAUUUACCCGACCACAUAAACACUCAUCUCUGCCUAUGCGAUAGGCUUUUAAAUCCAAAACACCCAUUCCACCAUGGAACACAACUUGAGAAGAUUACAUUCAGUGCAUCAGAGACCUGAAGCAGUGAGAUCAGGUUUCAGAAACAGAAAAAUAAUGAUGAGCACAAGGGAUAUGAUAUUGUCUUUGUUCUACCCAUUGCUAUGGCUACAACAUCAAUUUUGGUCAGUAUGUCUACUUUCUAAGAUUGUGUUGUGAUUGAAAACAAUACAUCUGUUGUAUGACUCCCAGAGAAGGAGAAAAUCGUAGUGUAGAAAACAUCAGAAGAAAAAUGAAAUCACUAUGCAAUCUUGUAACAGCAUCAAGAGAAUGAGCUCUCACAAAGUGAAAUGAUUAAGCACGUAAGCUAAUGAUUCCUCCCUCUCUCUCUCUCUCUCUUUGUGUUUGUAAUGAGGCACCCCAUGCAUACAUGACAAAAACAUGCUCCGUGUUUUCAUCUGUUCGGUGCAUUCCAAACCCCAGAUCUGUCCAACAGUGACAGACUCCAUGUCAUCCUUAUUUGAGACAGUGUCCUUGUUUCCUUGUCCACUUUCUGUCCCUCUCUCUAGAAUCUGCCACAUCUGUAAGUCUGCCUCUCUCUCUCUCUCUGCAUUGACCUCUCUAUCUAUCUCCCACAAUACACACGGAUGUACACACACACAUGCUCUUUCCCUCAUCUUCAAACUUCACUUCAUCUUCCCCCCUCUUUCUCUCUCCCUCUCUCUCUCCCUCUCCCUUCCUCCCUCCCUCUAAUCCUCUGCUCUUGUGAAGAGCAUUGGGCCAUGCAGCUGUGCUCCUCUGGCACUCAGAGAGGCGGCCACUCAACCCCCCACUCACCAGAGGGGUCCAGACCACCUGGCUCCAGGGGCAGCUGACUGGCCUAUUCAGCUGAAUGCACAGGCAGACCAGCGGCUCAUCCCUGGCCUGCCCCGGAGGUGGACGCGUGGAGUGCGAGGGGCCUGUGUGGAAGGUCAGCGGAGCCAGAGGAAAAGCCCACGUUUGUGGGAGCGCGAGGCGAGUGGAUGAGUGACCAUUUACACCCGAGUGGAACAUAGGGAGAGAUUCACGGGGAGUCAGCUGAUGCUACUGGCACUAUAUUUGUAUCGCAGGAAGGGAUGGGAAUUAUUUACUUCCUGCCAUUAUAGAAUAAAGGGAUCGAAGAGGGGAGAAAGAGUGACAGAAGUAAUAUGGCGUAUUUUUAACUAAAGGGGGACGGGAAUACCCAUGUGUUUGGAUUCACUCUGCUGAUUUCUGCUCCAGGUGUCCGUCAGAGAUUGCCUAGUAUGGUUAUUUAAUUAGUAUCUUUGACAAAAUUCCGUUUCUAUUUGGAAUUCUCAGAAUAUACUAUAAUUCAUGCAUCAGCCAUUUGUAUGUUAGUCUUAGGUUAGGUGGCUGUUUUUGAAUGCAUUUCAGAGCCAGUAUUAUUUUGUCACAGAUGUUAUGAGAUGUUUCAACAAGACAUGUCAUUUGAUUACUCUAUUGCCAUUGUUGAGUCUAAAAUGUUAUUUUACUUUUUAUUUUUUAAUUUUUUAUUAAUUGAAAUAGGUAAAACAAGAUAUUAUGUCUGCAUGACACACUGUAAAUCAAAUGAUUAUGUUCAAAGUAACUAGUACAGAAGAACUGAUGACUUACUUUAGAAAUGAUGUGUUGCACAUGCCAUGUUGUUGGGCAGGAUGGGCAGGAUGUUAUAUUUAUCAUUUAUGUUUCUGGCCCUCUGAUUCUCUCAGAAUAUCCUUUGUUUAAAGUGCCAUGGUGUGUUCAGUGGAAAGGCUUUUUUCACUCAAAUGACAACACAGCAAAUUAAUGUUUUGCUUUACACAUCUCUCAACAUUUUUGACACAACACAGAUCAUUUAUUUUUAAGAAUAACACAUUGUAACGUAACAUUUUAAAUAAAGGAAAUAUUUUGGGGAAAAAACCUCAACAGCUAAAACAAAUUAAACAUCUAAAUCGAUCCGUGUGAUCUAUUAUUUUUGGCAAGAAAUGGUUGAAAGCUUUGAUAUGUCAUGAUUGCAUACAUAUUUGAGCCUUGGGGUUGAAGGCUUCUGUUCUCCACGACCUGUGCCAUAAUCCUGAGGUCUGAGGAAGAGCACAGAAGACCUUUCAUCAGGACUCUCCAACUUCCUGUGCCCACAUCUCUGUGUGUUGUUCAACGGAAGUUCC